AUAUAUACAGUGCACAUUAUAUAAAAAUGUUAGUUAUCAAACCCAGUUAUCAAAGCGUCUGGUACAAUAUAUCAGCUUUAACUUUAAUGACUGCGAUUGGCUGUUCAGGGUGUACCCCGCCUCUCGCCCAGUCAGCUGGCGACCCUAGUGAGGAUAAGGAGUACGGAAAAUAGAUGGAUGGAACAUCAAUGAGUGACACAGAUCUCGAAACACUAAACACGUUAAAAAGAUCCACAUGUGCCGUGAGAAAGUAUUUGCCCCUUCUCAAAUGUAUUUAUUUUUUAUUUUUGGCGUAGCUUCCCCGCUAAUGUUCAAGAUCAUCAAACAAAUGUAAAUAUCAGACAAAGAUAACCCAAGUAAACCACGUGAUUUUAUUUAAUACGGUAAAAAAAAAAACUAAAUUUUUUUGAUGAUCCUAAAAGUGGGGAAAUUAUGCAAAAAAUAAGAAUUUGAGAAAGAGGCAAAUACUUUUUCACGGCAAUGUACACUCAAACAAUAACUUUGGAAUAUGAACAAUUCUAAUUUGGAUAAGCACCUUCAUGCUAGCCCAUCACUGACAAACCCUGUCUUUGACAUGAACAUCUGCGCUUUAUUCACUGAGAAAUUAGGGGAAAUGUAAAAAAUGCCCUAUUUUGCAACAGGUAAUUAAACUUCCUUCAUCCAGAACUGCAAAAUGAGAACAAAUUUCAAUGUCUCAUUGUCAUGGAAUUUAGGUAGUGUCAUAUAGUGCCCUGCAGUUCCAUUAUUGGAGCCGGGAGGGCGCUUUGUGUCCUCUCUCCCCCCGCCUCUCUCUGUUUUCAGCACCUGUCUUCAAUCAGCCUCAUCACCACCGCUGUAGAUAAGCCCGCCUGUUCCCAGAAAUCCUUGCCUAAGUAUUGCAGCCUCUCCUAGCGUGCUCCCCUGUGUUCGUGACCUCUGUCAUUCCUGCCACCAAGCCAACUACCUGUUCUAUCCGCUGCCUGCCACCUGCCCACGUCGCCACCUGCCAACACAGCCAAGACCACCUCCAUAACCUUUCCUCAAUAAACUGUUCAUCAUUU
Molecule: long non-coding RNA, 1040 nt
Organism: Phyllopteryx taeniolatus (common seadragon)
Lineage: Eukaryota; Metazoa; Chordata; Actinopteri; Syngnathiformes; Syngnathidae
Exons: 2
Source: RefSeq, a predicted model, not a curated record